UACAGAGGUCUCAAGCGUUGUUCGGAUUCAUUGGGCGUAAAGCCUGCGUAGGCGGCCCGGUAAGUCGGGUGUGAAAUCUCGGAGCUUAACUCCGAAACUGCAUUCGAUACUGCCGUGCUUGAGGACUGGAGAGGAGACUGGAAUUUACGGUGUAGCGGUGAAAUGCGUAGAUAUCGUAAGGAAGACCAGUGGCGAAGGCGGGUCUCUGGACAGUUCCUGACGCUGAGGCACGAAGGCCAGGGGAGCAAACGGG
This 253-nucleotide ribosomal RNA is filed under the name uncultured bacterium. RNAcentral describes it as "partial 16S ribosomal RNA". It matches the Rfam family "Bacterial small subunit ribosomal RNA", at positions 524 to 776 of the family's 1533-position model. The record is from RNAcentral.